GGUGAACCUGCGGAAGGAUCAUUAAACGGAAAAGCAUGCUUUUUCCAGCAUGAUAGUUCAAACCCCACCUGUGUACCUUACCUGUUGCUUCCGUGCCGCACACUGUGCAAAGGUGCCUUGGGGUGACCCCGUGGGUACCCGAGUGCUCCGGACCCCCCGAGGAGUCGGCACGAAUGGUUGACCACAAACUCUUGCCUCUGAAUGCCCUCCGUCUGAACUGUAAGUACGCAAAAACGUAAAAAGAAAAAAAGAAAAAAAACUUUCAACAACGGAUCUCUUGGUUCUCGCAUCGAUGAAGAACGCAGCGAAAUGCGAUAAGUAGUGUGAAUUGCAGAAUUCCGUGAAUCAUCGAAUCUUUGAACGCACAUUGCGCCUCCUGGCAUUCCGGGAGGCAUGCCUGUACGAGGGUCACCCAAAAUCAACUCGUCGCGCGCCGGGAUCGCGCACGGUCUUGGAGGAAGAGAGAGGGAGCCCGCCUCGUUGGUCGCGAUAAAUCUCCCCUCCCAAAUCGAACGGCGCAAGGUCACUCGGUACUCGGCGUAGUAGUCGUCGUUCGUCGAUGGUCCAGUGUCGUUGUCGCCCGGGAAACCACCGCAAAUUGUCUCGAUUGACCUCGUAUCAGGUAGGGAUACC
RNAcentral lists this ribosomal RNA (633 nucleotides) under Geopora ahmadii. RNAcentral's name for it is "eukaryotic LSU rRNA". The stretch from base 258 to 411 matches the Rfam family "5.8S ribosomal RNA". The record is from RNAcentral. Lineage: Eukaryota; Fungi; Ascomycota; Pezizomycetes; Pezizales; Pyronemataceae.